RNAcentral lists this unclassified non-coding RNA (2392 nucleotides) under Rhipicephalus microplus (southern cattle tick). Its description in RNAcentral is "protein ANTAGONIST OF LIKE HETEROCHROMATIN PROTEIN 1- like, transcript variant X2". The record is from RNAcentral. Lineage: Eukaryota; Metazoa; Arthropoda; Arachnida; Ixodida; Ixodidae.
UUUGAUUAGAGGGACCUUUCACUCUAGUUCGGCUGCCUGUUAUUGUUGUUCGCGGGUCGCCGACAUGGUUUUGACUAAGCGUCGAAAGCGACUGCUUCUGUUAAAGAAGAAGGUCCUUUUGGCCCAAAUGAUGCUGGAGGAUCAACGCCAGCGGAGGUGGUGGGUGCGCCCGUCAUGGAGAACGCGGCACGCCGAGAGUGAAUUCUUCACCAUGAUGAAAAAAAUGCGUGCUGGGGACCUAGAAUACUUCAAAAAGUACUAUCGCAUGUCCCCAUCACAAUUUGACUAUAUCCUCAGUUUGGUCAAGGACAGAGAGACCUUCAUCCGAGAGCCCAUAUCUUCAGCAGAGCGACUUGCUAUGACCCUGAGGCAUCUGUCCUCAGGAGCCCUCAUGCAAGACAUUGCCCUACCAUUUCGUGUGGGCAUAUCCACAGCUCGUGAGGCCGUGCAAGAGACAUGUGCGGCACUUUGGUCCAGACUGAAAUCACUGUACAUGCCUGGGCCAAAGACGGAGACAUGGCUGCAUAUCGCUGAAGGAUUCAGCUGGAUAUGGCAGUUUCCGAACUGUAUUGGGGCUGUUGAUGGAAAGCACAUACAGAUUAAGUGUCCUCCAAACUCUGGAAGUAUGUACUUCAAUUAUAAGGGCACAUACUCCAUUGUUCUGCUUGCCGUGGUCGACAGCGACUACAAGUUCGUGAUCGUCGACGUUGGUGCUUACGGCAAACAGAGUGAUGGUGGAGUCCUAAAACAAUCAAAGUUCGGGUGUCGCUUGGAGAAUGGAAAGCUUCAUAUCCCGUGAGACCUGGAACUUCCGAACACGUCCCACCCAGCGCCUUGCGUGUUUGUGGGAGACGAAGCCUUCCAACUCCGCAUUGACUUCCUACGGCCAUAUCCUGGACGAGGGCUAGAGGGAGGUGUGCCGAGAACGCUUUCGGGAUUCUGGUGACCAGAUCGAGAAUCUUGGCGCGGACCAUGGGCGAAGAGCCAAAACAAGCUGAAAAGAUGGUGAAGGCCCUCUGUGCUCUCCACAACUUUCUAAUGCACAGAAGCACUGUAGAUGAGGACGCAUAUUGUGGCCCUGGCUUUGCUGAUUCUGUGGAUGGCUUGGGGCAGCGGCGGUCUGGCCAUUGGCGUGAGCUUCUUGCACAGCCGCCAAUGCAAGUGGCUCGUACACAGGCACGCCACUUUGGCAAAGCAGCUCGGCAGGUCAGGAACCUGUAUGCUACUUAUUUCUUCAGUGAAGUAGGCAAAGUGCCUUGGCAGGAUAAGAUCUUGUGUCCUGUCAACACAGGGCCCAAUGCAGCACUACCUGUUUCCCAGUGAAGACGAAAUUUUUUUUAGUAAUUUGAUAUGAGGGGUGUAACGUCCCAAACUACCAUAUUAUCAUGAGAGACGCUGUAGUGAAGGGCUCUUGAAAUUUCGACCACCUGGGGUUCUUUAUCGUGCACCCAUAUCAGAGCACACGGGCCUACAGCAUUUCUGCCUCCAUCGAAAAUGCAUCUUUUUUUAGUAAAGGUGUUAAAGAAUACGUGCCACUGUGUGACCCAGCUGAAAACUAUCACCACCAUAAAUGGGUAUGUGCCACACAAAUUGUGUCAAUCCCACUACUCAUUAUUAGUCAACUAAAGAUGAAGGCGGCUACAGUUGGUCCAACAAGUGGCUGUGAAGUCAUGGUGGAGUGCCAACGGCAUUGCGUAUCAACAACGAGAAAAUAACGGGGGAAAAUAAAAGGCAAUGGCAGCUGCGAGAAGACCUUAAUUGAAGGCUGAGGAGCACAAUGACUUGCCCGUAGUCUUCGAGAGGUGCAAACACUUGGUUUCACUGAGACUUUGUCUUCAAAGUUAGGGCAACCGUGUGUCUGUGACUGUUUAAAUGGUCAACCUCUUCUUGCUAUCUGGAUGAUGUCAUCGUUUUCUCACCCACUUUUGAAAGCCACCUCCCUCGUCUGUCAACCAUACUUGAUGCCCUUCGGCGAGCUGGCCACCUUUUCAUUUCCUGUUUGGCCAUUAUUUUUCGUUAUGUUUUGAUACCCUGCUUCUGUUUAGCCAACACCAAUCAUCACGAAACUCUACAGCAUGUCUGGCUGUGGCAAAAAUAGACGCACACUCGGUAGGAUCUGGCAUGUAUAGAAAGAUUUUGUUGAUUUUGUGCAGUGGGUGGGAGCUUAGUAGCAGGCGUCAACAACCAAUGGGUCUUCGCAAUUUGUCGUCGCACUUCGACUAAUGUAAAUAGAGGUGCUAAUCACUUCCAAGAAGCUUCACGAGAGGUGUUAAUAAAUUUAAAAUAAAGCAUCAAAUUUAGAAACACAGUUCGCAAAGGUAAACAAAGUUUUUCUAACAGGCACAGAAGCUGAGAACAGUGGCCGGCAAAAGGUUGUCAGCAAUAGAGGAAC